RNAcentral lists this ribosomal RNA (263 nucleotides) under uncultured archaeon. RNAcentral describes it as "partial 16S ribosomal RNA". It matches the Rfam family "Archaeal small subunit ribosomal RNA", at positions 718 to 982 of the family's 1478-position model. The record is from RNAcentral.
AGUCACUGACAUUAGAUACCCGGUAGUCCCAGCCGUAAACGAUGUGCGUUAGGUGUAUCGACGACCACGAGUUGUCGAGGUGCCGAAGGGAAACCGUGAAACGUACCGCCUGGGAAGUACGGUCGCAAGGCAGAAACUUAAAGGAAUUGGCGGGGAGCACCACAACAGGUGGAGCCUGCGGUUUAAUUGGACUCAACGCCGGACAUCUCACCGGAUAAGACAGCUGAAUGAUUGCCGGGCUGAAGACUCUGCAUGACUAGCUG